CCUACGGGUGGCAGCAGUGAGGAAUAUUGGUCAAUGGACGAGAGUCUGAACCAGCCAAGUAGCGUGAAGGAUGACUGCCCUAUGGGUUGUAAACUUCUUUUAUAUGGGAAUAAAACGUUCCACGUGUGGGAUUUUGUAUGUACCAUAUGAAUAAGGAUCGGCUAACUCCGUGCCAGCAGCCGCGGUAAUACGGAGGAUCCGAGCGUUAUCCGGAUUUAUUGGGUUUAAAGGGAGCGUAGGUGGAUUGUUAAGUCAGUUGUGAAAGUUUGCGGCUCAACCGUAAAAUUGCAGUUGAAACUGGCAGUCUUGAGUACAGUAGAGGGGGGCGGAAUUCGUGGUGUAGCGGUGAAAUGCUUAGAUAUCACGAAGAACUCCGAUUGCGAAGGCAGUUCACUGGACUGCAACUGACACUGAGGCUCGAAAGUGUGGGUAUCAAACAGGAUUAGAUACCCCUGUAGUC
Molecule: ribosomal RNA, 460 nt
Filed under: uncultured bacterium
Lineage: Bacteria
Description: partial 16S ribosomal RNA
Rfam family: Bacterial small subunit ribosomal RNA
Source: RNAcentral